CACGGGGGGAGCGAACGUUGUUCGGAAUCACUGGGCGUAAAGGGCGUGUAGGCGGUUCGGUAAGUGGAAUGUGAAAUCCCCCGGCUUACCCGGGGAACUGCAUCCCAUACUGCUGGACUUGAGUGCGGGAGAGGAUGGAGGAAUUCCUGGUGUAGCGGUGAAAUGCGUAGAGAUCAGGAGGAACACCCGUGGCGAAGGCGGCCCUCUGGCUCGACCCUGACGCUGAGGCGCGAAAGCGUGGGGAGCGAACGGG
This 253-nucleotide ribosomal RNA is filed under the name uncultured bacterium. RNAcentral's name for it is "partial 16S ribosomal RNA". It matches the Rfam family "Bacterial small subunit ribosomal RNA", at positions 524 to 776 of the family's 1533-position model. The record is from RNAcentral.